CAGAACGAAAUACUUCCUGGUCCUGUGCCAUCCCCAUGAUUGGUUGUAGAUCAGGCCAUGGUGAUUCAUAGGGUUUUCAUUGGCUGAUUUUUCAGAAGUAGAUUGCCAGGGCUUUCUAGUUUGUCUUACUCUGGAAGCUCCAUUAAAACCCGUUCAGCAUCAUAGUGACGUGCAAACCACCACUGACAGAUGGGCUGGGAGGUGAACUCAGGUCUCAUGCAUGGAAGUCCAGCUUCUCGGAUUAUUUGCUCAUCAUACAGAUUGAGCAGGUACGGUGAAAGGAUACAACCCUGACGCACAUCUUCCCUGACUUUAAACCACGCUGUAUCCCAAGUGUUCCCAGGUGGUGCAGUGGCUAAACAAUCAGCUGCUAACUGAAAGGUCAGCGGUUUGAACCCACCAGCCGCUCUGAGGAGAAAGGUGUGGCAGUCUGCUUCUGUUAAGAUUACAGCCUUGAGAACCCUAUGAGGCAGUUCUACUCUGUCCUAUAGGGUCACUAUGAGUCAAAAUCAACUCAGUGGCACAGAACAACAACACAACAAUUUAGUGCUCCUAAAUCUUAAUAACUUCCUAAACCCAAUAAAGGACAUCUGUAAAAACCUUCAGCUCCUUUCAGACGGGGACUGUGUCUUCUGUGUCUUCUUCAUGCUUGCAUAUAUGAUAUUUAUUUUGGUACAUGAGAUGAAAGGGAAGCAAGAAGAGAGUAGGGGACCUCAUACCACCAAGGAAGCAGCACCAGGAGCUGAGUGUGUCCUUUGGACCUGGGGUCCCUGCACCUGAGAAGCUUCUCAACCAUAGGAAGAUUGAGGACAAGGACCCUUCCUUCAGAGCUGACAGAGACAGAAAGCCUUCCCCUGGAGCCGAUGCCCUGAAUUUGGACUUUUAGCUUACUUUACUAUGAGAAAAUAAAUCUCUUUGUUAAAGCCAUCCAUGUGUGGUAUUUCUGUUAUAGCAGCACUAGAUGACUAAGACAACAGGAAAUGUGAAAGUAUUUAAGAAACAGAUCUGAGAAAUGGUAGUAUAUUUUAUUGGAUAGAUUGUUGAUGAAAGUAGCAAUCAAUAGGACCAACACUGAGAAUAGGUCGGGCAAAGUGAACUCCUCUUCAUUUGAUCAUAGAUUUCCUAGUUUGAAUGAUCACAAUAAAAUAAGAGGCAAGAAGAAGUGUAUUCUUGUUGUUUCUGAAAUUCCCUGGUUGUUAUCACUGGACAAAAAUCCAUAUGGAAAAAGUAACAAACAACUUCAAAUUAAAACUAAGUUGAGUAACCAGUAAGGACCAAGAAGAGGAAUAUCUAGAAGAGAAAUCCCUUCCAUCUACAAGGAGAGUUAUCAGCUCUCAAGCCAAAGUCUACCAAGGCUUCACCUCCCAUAAUUCCAGCAGAUAUCCUCCAUUCUAUUAUAAUUGUAUUUUCUACAUUUUAUAACAUACUUAUUCAGUGUGUUCCUUUAACACAUCCUAUAUUCUUCCAUAAUACUACUAGGGGAGCGAAGAAGCAUAUUUCCUAGAGACGUGAGAAUUUCCUAAGGGGUUUUGGAUUUCUGCUCUUUCAGGUCUUUGGUGGUAUGCCCCAAUAUCUGAGCCUAGUGGCUUAUUUAGGCACAGUUUCUGGUGUUGUGUGGCUGGUUCCUCCUUUGGCUUUCUUAUCAGUUAGAUAUCUGUGCAGUUCAUCUUUUUCUUCUUUCCCAUGGAAGGAGCUAUAAAUGGCACAAAUGAACCCUCCACAAUCCUUAUUAUUGUAUUACAUUGGAU
Molecule: long non-coding RNA, 1748 nt
Organism: Loxodonta africana (African savanna elephant)
Lineage: Eukaryota; Metazoa; Chordata; Mammalia; Proboscidea; Elephantidae
Exons: 5
Source: RefSeq, a predicted model, not a curated record